Molecule: ribosomal RNA, 497 nt
Filed under: uncultured bacterium
Lineage: Bacteria
Description: partial 16S ribosomal RNA
Rfam family: Bacterial small subunit ribosomal RNA
Source: RNAcentral
GAUGAACGCUGGCGGCGUGCCUAAUACAUGCAAGUCGAGCGAACGGACGAGAAGCUUGCUUCUCUGAUGUUAGCGGCGGACGGGUGAGUAACACGUGGAUAACCUACCUAUAAGACUGGGAUAACUUCGGGAAACCGGAGCUAAUACCGGAUAAUAUUUUGAACCGCAUGGUUCAAAAGUGAAAGACGGUCUUGCUGUCACUUAUAGAUGGAUCCGCGCUGCAUUAGCUAGUUGGUAAGGUCACGGCUUACCAAGGCAACGUUGCAUAGCCGACCUGAUAGGGUGAGCGGCCGCACUGGAACUGUGACAGGCUACAGACGCAUACGGGAGGCGGCAGUAGGCAAUCGUCCGCAAUGGGCGGGAGCCUGACGGAGCAGCGCCGCGGGAGUGAGGAGGGUCUUCGGAUCCUAAAACUCUGUUAUUGGGGAAGAACAUAUUUGUAAGUAACUGUGCGCAUCUUGACGGUACCUGGUCAAAGAGCCACGGCUAACUACGUG